This 496-nucleotide ribosomal RNA is filed under the name uncultured bacterium. Its description in RNAcentral is "partial 16S ribosomal RNA". It matches the Rfam family "Bacterial small subunit ribosomal RNA", at positions 28 to 506 of the family's 1533-position model. The record is from RNAcentral.
GAUGAACGCUGGCGGCGUGCCUAAUACAUGCAAGUCGAGCGAACAGACGAGGAGCUUGCUCCUCUGACGUUAGCGGCGGACGGGUGAGUAACACGUGGAUAACCUACCUAUAAGACUGGGAUAACUUCGGGAAACCGGAGCUAAUACCGGAUAAUAUAUUGAACCGCAUGGUUCAAUAGUGAAAGACGGUUUUGCUGUCACUUAUAGAUGGAUCCGCGCCGCAUUAGCUUGUUGGUAAGGUAACGGCUUACCAAGGCAACGAUGCGUAGCCGACCUGAGAGGGUGAUCGGCCACACUGGAACUGAGACACGGUCCAGACUCCUACGGGAGGCAGCAGUAGGGAAUCUUCCGCAAUGGGCGAAAGCCUGACGGAGCAACGCCGCGUGAGUGAUGAAGGUCUUCGGAUCGUAAAACUCUGUUAUUAGGGAUGAACAAAUGUGUAAGUAACUAUGCACGUCUUGACGGUACCUAAUCAGAAAGCCACGGCUAACUACGU